AACCUUAUGGACCUGCGGGCGUAUACCUGCGGAGGGAUCAUUACCGAGUUUACAACUCCCAAACCCCUGUGAACAUACCUAUAUGUUGCCUCGGCGGAUCAGCCCGCGCCCCGUAAAACGGGACGGCCCGCCGCAGGAUCCACAAACUCUGUUUUUAUUGUAACUUCUGAGUAACAAAACAAAUAAAUCAAAACUUUCAACAACGGAUCU
This 210-nucleotide unclassified non-coding RNA is filed under the name soil metagenome. Its description in RNAcentral is "partial contains 5.8S ribosomal RNA, internal transcribed spacer 2, and large subunit ribosomal RNA". The record is from RNAcentral.